Long non-coding RNA from Notothenia coriiceps (black rockcod), 607 nucleotides. RefSeq lists it as uncharacterized. The transcript has 2 exons. The record is from RefSeq and is a predicted model, not a curated record. NCBI's taxonomy places the organism in Eukaryota, Metazoa, Chordata, Actinopteri, Perciformes, Nototheniidae.
UCCUGAGGUUCUGCAGUAGACGUUCCUUCCUGAGGUUCUGCAGUAGAUCUUCCCCCCUGAGGUUCUGCAGUAGAUCUUCCCUCCUGAGGUUCUGCAGUAGACGUUCCCCCCUGAGGUUCUGCAGUAGAUCUUCCCCCCUGAGGUUCUGCAGUAGACGUUCCCUCCUGAGGUUCUGCAGUAGAUCUUCCCUCCUGAGGUUCUGCAGUAGACGUUCCCUCCUGAGGUUCUGCAGUAGACGUUCUCUCUGUGGUGCUAGCCGUCUGCCUCAUCCUCAUCGACCACUGAUUGCCUUCCACUCUCCCAUCACUCAUCAUGAGGUCUCAGUAUAUAAAUAUCUAUAAGGGUAUAUGUAAAGAAAUAGAAAUGAGCACAACAUUAAUGUAAGUUAUCUGAGUAUUGAGAUGUUACUUAUUUUGUAUUGCUUAUAUAUGAAAGUAUACUUUAAAUAUCUUAUUUUGAUGAAAAAAAGACCAACUACUGUUCUACGGUCGUGUUCCUCUUGUGUUUGAGCUCGCUGUAGAUGUUGAUUAGCGUAGCUGCUAGCUCGUGUCGUUCAUGUAUCGGUGGCAAACCAAAAAAAAUAAUUAGCGCUUUUAUGCGUCGCUUC